AGACAACAGGGAUUGCCUUAGUAACGGCGAGUGAAGCGGCAACAGCUCAAAUUUGAAAUCUGGCCCUUGGGUCCGAAUUGUAAUUUGUAGAGGAUGAUUUUGGUGCGGUAUCUUCCGAGUUCCUUGGAACAGGACGCCUUAGAGGGUGAGAGCCCCGUACGGUUGAAUGCCUAGCCUCUGUAAAUCUCCUUCGACGAGUCGAGUAGUUUGGGAAUGCUGCUCUAAAUGGGAGGUAAAUUUCUUCUAAAGCUAAAUAUUGGCCAGAGACCGAUAGCGCACAAGUAGAGUGAUCGAAAGAUGAAAAGCACUUUGAAAAGAGGGUUAAAUAGCACGUGAAAUUGUUGAAAGGGAAGGAUUUGUGACCAGACUUUUUCUGGGCGGAUCAUCCGGGGUUCUCUCCGGUGCACUUUGCCCAGUAAAGGCCAGCAUCGGUUUUCGGCGGGGGAUAAAAGCAGUAGGAAUGUGGCUCUCUUCGGGGAGUGUUAUAGCCUAUUGUAUAAUACCCUGCUGGGGACCGAGGUACGCGCUUCUGCAAGGAUGCUGGCGUAAUGGUUAUCAAUCACCCGUCUUGAAACACGGACCAAGGAGUCGAACAUUUGUGCGAGUGUUUGGGUGUUAAACCCUCACGCGUAAUGAAAGUGAACGGAGGUGAGAGCCCUUACGGGUGCAUCAUCGACCGAUCCUGAAGUUUUCGGAUGGAUUUGAGUAAGAGCAUAACUGUUCGGACCCGAAAGAUGGUGAACUAUGCGUGGAUAGGGUGAAGCCAGAGGAAACUCUGGUGGAGGCUCGCAGCGGUUCUGACGUGCAAAUCGAUCGUCAAAUCUGCGCAUGGGGGCGAAAGACUAAUCGAUCAUCUAGUAGCUGGUACGCGAUUCCU
RNAcentral lists this ribosomal RNA (877 nucleotides) under Pseudopestalotiopsis taiwanensis. RNAcentral's name for it is "partial 28S ribosomal RNA". It matches the Rfam family "Eukaryotic large subunit ribosomal RNA", at positions 63 to 972 of the family's 3401-position model. Lineage: Eukaryota; Fungi; Ascomycota; Sordariomycetes; Amphisphaeriales; Sporocadaceae. The record is from RNAcentral.